GAUGAACGCUAGCGGCAGGCCUAAUACAUGCAAGACGAACGGUAAGAAUGGUAGCAAUAUUAUUCCAAGAGUGUCGUAAGGGUGCGUAACACGUAUGCAAUCUACCCGCAACAGGGGGAUAGCUCGGGGAAACUCGAAUUAACACCCCAUAAUAUCACAUAACGGCAUCGUUGAGUGAUUAAAACUGAGGUGGUUGCGGAUGAGCAUGCGUUUGAUUAGUUAGUUGGUGAGGUAACGGCUCACCAAGACGAUGAUCAAUAGGGGAACUGAGAGGUUGAUCCCCCACACUGGCACUGAGAUACGGGCCAGACUCCUACGGGAGGCAGCAGUAGGGAAUAUUGGACAAUGGGUGAGAGCCUGAUCCAGCCAUGCCGCGUGCAGGAAGAAGGCCUUCUGGGUUGUAAACUGCUUUUAUGUGGGGAUAAAGUGAGCUACGUGUAGUUUAUUGCAGGUACCACAUGAAUAAGGACCGGCUAAUUCCGUG
This 484-nucleotide ribosomal RNA is filed under the name uncultured bacterium. Its description in RNAcentral is "bacterial SSU rRNA". It matches the Rfam family "Bacterial small subunit ribosomal RNA", at positions 28 to 507 of the family's 1533-position model. The record is from RNAcentral.